This 848-nucleotide long non-coding RNA is filed under the name Homo sapiens (human). RNAcentral describes it as "HSALNT0393294". The record is from RNAcentral. Lineage: Eukaryota; Metazoa; Chordata; Mammalia; Primates; Hominidae.
AACCCUCUCCACCCCGGAAUGGCCUGGCCUGCACGAGGAUUCUCUCUAUUGUCAGGAGCAGGAAAAGAUCUGAAUUUCCCAUGAAAUGCCAGUGUCAGCAUAACAUGGUGGUACUACACAGUGCCACUCUAUCAGGCAUAUCCUGGGCCUCUCACAAAAAUAUUAUUUUAAAAAGAUAUUCAGAAUGCUUCUGGUGCCAAGUAGGUGCAGCGUGGAUACUCUGUGAUGAUGAUGAACAGCCUUCUAAGUGCGUGUACUGAGUUUAAGAAACAUAACACCACAGCACGUAAAAUCCCGUGCCAGAUCUCACACAGCCGCCAAAUCACAUCUGCCUCUAUCUCUCUGGAUGAUCCUUCUCCAAAAUCAAGGCCUGGCACCUUGCCCUGAACAUCAGCCAACUGGACAUUAGCAGACCAGGACGGAGAGGGAAAUCCAGUUAUGUUCCCCUAUAAAUCUCAACCAAAGCCAAACCUUGAUUGUCAGUGUUUGUGGGCAGUGGAGGAAGGGUGCCCUAGGGAGUGAGUAGGUGGAAUUUGCACAUAGACUCAAAUCUUAUAUUUUGCAUUAUUGAACAAAAAAUACAUUGUUUCUACCUUCUCUGCUUUUGAACACAUUGAUGAAAAGGGCUAAUACAUAACAACAAUUUUCUAUCUUACUGAAAGUUGACUUUCUGGGUGAGGGGCUCAUGAAUGAGAAGUGAAAUGGUCAAAAGAGGGGUAUCCAAGUAGAGCUGAAAAAGCAGGGGGGCCGAGGAGUUAUCUGAUGAGGAAAAUGAAUCCCUGGAUAAUUGAGAGUUAACUAUAGAACUGGUUUCUUUUAUAAUUACUACAGAGUCAGCUUCUAUCAGG